RNA transcript from Balaenoptera musculus (blue whale), 2994 nucleotides. It is a transcript of the gene named GC-rich sequence DNA-binding factor 2, with no coding region annotated. Lineage: Eukaryota; Metazoa; Chordata; Mammalia; Artiodactyla; Balaenopteridae. The transcript is spliced from 11 exons. The record is from RefSeq and is a predicted model, not a curated record.
AGGCGGGAGGCGGGAGCGCGCGCCUGGGUGGCUGCUGUAGCCCUGGGUUAGCCAGAGCAGGAAGUGAACGUGCUAUGGCUCACAGGCCGAAGAGGACUUUCCGGCAGCGCCGAGCGGACUCUAGUGACAGCGACAGCACCCAGGAGCCAUUUGCUGAACCCGGGGCGCCGCGGGAGCAUGCAGACCUGGGCCCUGCGGAGGAAGGGCUGCCGUCUGGAGGAGGCCGCGCACAAGCGGCGGAACUACCACGCCGGGCCUGGGGUCGGAGCCGCGGCCGGGUCUGGGCCAGUUCCCGGCACGCCGCGAGAGCGGCUCCGCGCUUGGACCGAGGCUCGGACGUCCCAGAAUCCAGAGCGGUUGAUCUUUCAACAGACGAAGAGGAUGGAACACAUCGUUCUUCAGAAAGUAAAGAUGAUCAGAGUUCAUCUUCCAAUAGCUCUAGCUCGCUGGAAGAAGAGUUUACAUCACUAGUAAAUAUCCCUGAUGCAGCUUUUAUUCAGGCGGCCUACCGAAAAUGUGAAUUGGCCAGGGCCCAAGAGGACUAUAUUUCUUUGGAUGUAAAACAUGCCUUCACCAUCUCUGGUAUGAGGAAAAACACUGAAUAUCCUGAGAGUGAGCCUGAUGAUCAUGAAAAUAUAAUACCAUUUACCCCGAAGCUUCAAACACUUAGACAAAAGAUGGCUGAAGAAACAGCAGCCAGAAAUGAAGAAACAAGUGAAGAUAGUGAAGAAGAUAAAAAAUAUCAAGAUAUUUGGGAACAGCAGCAGAUGAGAAAAGCAGUUAAAAUCACAAAGGGACGAGACAUAGAUCUCUCUCAUAGCAGUGAAUCUCAAACAGUGAAGAAGUUCGAUGCUUCCAUUUCAUUUCCACCAGUAAAUUUAGAAAUUAUAAAGAAGCAACUAAAUACUAGAUUAACAUUACUACAGGAUACUCACCGCUCACACCUGAGGGAAUAUGAAAAAUAUAUACAAGAUGUCAAGAGCUCAAAGAGUACCAUCCAGAACCUAGAGAAUUCAUCAAAUCAAGUUCUAAAUUUUAAAUUCUAUAAAAGCAUGAAAGUUUAUGUGGAUAAUUUAAUUGACUGUCUUAAUAAAAAGAUUAUCAACAUCCAAGAAAUAGAAUCAGCCAUGCAUGCACUCCUUGUAAAACAAGCCAUGAUCUUUAUGAAACGCAGGCAAGAUGAAUUAAAACAUGAAUCAGCGUAUUUACAACAGUUAUCACGCAAAGCUGAGAUGUCAACAAAUAGAAGCUUGGCUAUGGAUGAAAAAACUCAGUGGAUUUUAGAAGAGAUUGAAUCUCGAAGGGCACGAAGAAGACAAGCAAGGGUUCUUUCUGGGAAUUGUACUCAUCAGGAAGGAACAUCUAGUGAUGAUGAACUAUCUUCAGACAUGAUUGACUUCCAAAAAAGCCAAGGUGACAUUUUACAGGAUCAUAAGAAGAUUUUUGAAGAUGUACACGAUGAUUUUUGUAAUAUCCAGAAUAUUUUAUUGAAAUUUCAACAAUGGCGAGAAAAGUUUCCUGAUUCUUAUUAUGAAGCUUUCAUUAGUUUAUGCAUUCCGAAGCUUUUAAAUCCCCUAAUACGAUUUCAGUUGAUUGAUUGGAAUCCUCUUAAGGUACAUAAGCUUAACAUGUGAAAAAAAUAAUCCUGAUCACAUUUAGUUACUUAAAUCCUCUAGUUAUCAGGUUAACUAUAAAGUACCUUACCUUUAACGUUGGAAUUGAUAAUUUGUGCUUUGGAGUAAUAGUCUGCACUCGUCUUUUCUUGGUUCUCACUCUGUUUUUAAGGCUGAGUGACACUUAACAUCAGUAAAAGAAACACUUUUUCUUUUAAAUCUUCUUCUAUGAUAAGUUUAAGAUCACUCAAAAAAGUAAAGGUAGUAUUAGACCUUAAGAAUUUUACUGUCUGUUUGAGUGAAAUUAAAAUAGGUACCAAGAGUUCUGAAGUUGGAGAUGACAUAAUGGGAAUACUUGGCUAGGAAAGCUACAAUGAAGAUGAGGAAUUUAAAUGAGGAUUUGAAGGAUAUAUAGAAUUUAAACAGGAAGACAGAGGAAGGAAAGGGUAUUUCAUAAAGGUACAUAGGGAGAAAUAUUAGUUUAGUAGAGACUGCGUAGAUCCUAAAUUAAGAGAUAUGAACUUGUUUUGAUAGGUAAUGGGAGGCGUGACAUGAUGAAGGUAAUGUUUUAGGAAGCCCUGAGCAACAGGCUAACUUGGAGGCUAGGGAGAAAGAGUUGAAGGUAUAUACUGAAAGGCUAUUGCUGUAGCCCAAGUGCAGGGUGAAGAAUUCGUCACGUGGGGUGAUAGUGACAAAGGGAAGGGAAAGAAAGUGUUGAUUACAAGGGAAGAGAAAGAAAGUGUUGAUUACAAGUGGCGUUAUGAAGUAAGAAUCAGUAAAAUACUGAGAAUAACCCUAACACAACACAUCAAAAAGAUGACCCCAAGGUUUGGAGUCUGAGUUAUUAGUACAAUGGUAGUUCCAUUCAUAAAAAUGGUGACUUUUCAGAGAGGAAAACAUUUUUGAUGGAAGUUUUACUUUAUAGACAAUGAAAUGAUGAUGGGACAUCCAUGUGGAUAUGCCUGUUAAGCAAACAGAAAUGAGAAAAUGAAACUCUAGGAAGAAAGGAGAGCUGAAAAUAAAGAUUUAACAAAGUAAAGGAUGGAUCCCUGUCGUUUUAUCUUCCUCUGCUCUAGUCAUGCAUGCCUUUAGGCUCUGUGUUAGGGCCAUGCAGUGUUCAUAGUUUAGGAGCCAAGCUUAUCCCUAAGAAAGUGGUAGGUAGUUGGUCGGAAAGCAGCCUAGUUGUUAACCACUCCAGCUGAACUGAGUACUCUGUUACAUCUAGCAAAGAUCUGUUCAUUCAGUUAUUCAGCAAAUAAUAAUUGGCCAUCUGCUCUUUGUUUAAUAAUAAGCUAAACCACAUGCAAAGUAUACAUUUGUGCCAAUGAGACUUGAGAGAGCCAGAAGUGAAUUUUGCGUGAGGUCUAAAACAGAUGCCAUG